This 77-nucleotide transfer RNA is filed under the name Deltaproteobacteria bacterium. RNAcentral's name for it is "tRNA-Arg". It matches the Rfam family "tRNA". From Rfam's summary of the family: Transfer RNA (tRNA) molecules are approximately 80 nucleotides in length. Their secondary structure includes four short double-helical elements and three loops (D, anti-codon, and T loops). Lineage: Bacteria; Pseudomonadati; Myxococcota; Myxococcia. The record is from RNAcentral.
GCGCCCGUAGCUCAGUAGGAUAGAGCGAUUGCCUCCUAAGCAAUAGGCCGUGUGUUCGAUUCACGCCGGGCGCACCA